This 449-nucleotide ribosomal RNA is filed under the name uncultured bacterium. RNAcentral's name for it is "bacterial SSU rRNA". It matches the Rfam family "Bacterial small subunit ribosomal RNA", at positions 330 to 794 of the family's 1533-position model. The record is from RNAcentral.
UCCAGACUCCUACGGGAGGCAGCAGUGGGGGAUAUUGCACAAUGGGGGAAACCCUGAUGCAGCGACGCCGCGUGGGCGAAGAAGUAUUUCGGUAUGUAAAGCCCUAUCAGCAGGGAAGAAGAAAUGACGGUACCUGAGUAAGAAGCACCGGCUAAAUACGUGCCAGCAGCCGCGGUAAUACGUAUGGUGCAAGCGUUAUCCGGAUUUACUGGGUGUAAAGGGAGCGUAGACGGCUGUGCAAGCCAGAUGUGAAAGCCCGGGGCUCAACCCCGGGACUGCAUUUGGAACUGCGUGGCUUGAGUGUCGGAGAGGCAGGCGGAAUUCCUAGUGUAGCGGUGAAAUGCGUAGAUAUUAGGAGGAACACCAGUGGCGAAGGCGGCCUGCUGGACGAUGACUGACGUUGAGGCUCGAAAGCGUGGGGAGCAAACAGGAUUAGAUACCCCUGUAGU